Molecule: non-coding RNA, 8283 nt
Organism: Coturnix japonica (Japanese quail)
Lineage: Eukaryota; Metazoa; Chordata; Aves; Galliformes; Phasianidae
Source: RefSeq, a predicted model, not a curated record
CCCGGCACUCCGACCGCGUCACCACCUUCAGUGCAUUUUCCUCAUGCCCCCCUGGAGGGCAGGACCCUGGCACCACCCUAUGUUACCAACAGCAAAUGGAAAAUUGUUUACUACCUACAUGAUGGCAAGGCUUAUGCACAUGUGAGUGAUAACAUGAGGCCGUGAUAAGGAAAGAGUCGUGUGCCUCCAGACAUCUUCCAAAUGGACUGAGUGAUGAAUCACAAAGCUGAAACAACAACAAAUACAAGACAGACCAGCAAGAGUAAAACCACCGUCUCAAUACUUCAGGCUGUUUCCCACCAGUAACAGUUGCCACUGAGAAAGGGCAGCAAGAAGAGGAUUUUCCCAUCCCGUUUCCAGAAGGGAGGAUCUGAGGCCAAGGAAUAUGUGUGCUGCUGCUGCUGCUUCUGAUCUCCUGAACCGCUUCCAAUCCAGAUGGGAAACAGAAGAGCACGGAGAUUUUGCAAUUUGAGCUGAGCCAGGCAGGAGCUCUUUGGCAGAAGAAGAGGCCUCCCGAGGGCCACACAACAACUGCAUUGUGAUAGGAUGCUCCAUGGGAGACAGCAGCUUGUAAAAGCAGUCGGGGUCUACCAGAGAACACCACAAUAAACAACACAAAACACAAGAAGGAGCCCGCCAACUGCAGAAAGCCAGCAACAGGAUCAAAAGAGAAAUGUCCCAGGUACAAACAAGAGCCGGGAGGAAUGACAUGACUGCAGCCUGGAAAACCUAUAAUGUCUGCAAGGGCUAGAAGCUGGAGGCAUCGGCAGUUUGGCAGCAGCCUCCCCAGGAAUGAGCUGAGGACAUCAAGCAACUCCCUACUCUCAGCUGCUGGGUGCCACCAAAGCUAUUUCACAUACCUAGAAAGCAACGGCACAAAUCUUCAGCAAGAAUCAAGGAGGAAUCAUGCAAGAAAAGCUGCCCUGAAGACGUUGCUUCCUAGAGAUACAAGAGAUGGGGCUGCUCGCACCAUUGAAGUGGGAGAGGAAGUGGACAUUUAGCCCAGUUCUUUUGGCAUCAAGUGGACAUGUUUAUUACGGCUGGCAGAGCGUACCUGUGUGCAACAUGGCAAUCCUGCCUGUCACCACACCAACCCUACAGCUGAUGGAAAUCUGGGUCCCAGCUUCAGACAGUUGUCUGCCAUCUGCUUUGGCCAGACACCAAGACGCUAGCAAUUGGCUGGCAUUGCUGCCAUGAGCAAAGCACACAGUCAAUGGGACUUGGCAUCUGCUGGAGUGGAAGACUGUACCCCAGUGGAUGGUAACAAAUCUCCUCGUCAAAACCAUGAAGUAGCAGGAAUCUCCUCGGAGAGCAAUGUAUCACAACAUUUUUCAAGAUGAUUUCCAAAUCGAAGAUGACUUCCAAGGAACAGCGAGGAUGUAAUCUUGGAGCCAAUCAAACCAAUGGCAGAAAUCCCACUUUCUGCAUGAUCUUCUUAAUGGAGCCUCUGAAAUUUUGAAGCUUCAUAUAUUAUGGUUAAAAGGUACUGUCCAAAUUCAGCAUCUGUGAGCCUUACAGAGGCACGACCCUAAAAAGAAGUGAUGAAAAAUGUCUAUUUUAAAAACAAAUAUCCCUAUUUAUAAUGACACCAAAGGGAAAAAGGAGAAUUCAGUACUUAAUACUGACACUUGCAACUUGCAAAAUCUCUCCACUGCUUGAAACAAGCAUUUGUGAGAGUUUGGAAAAUUUUGAUCACUCAUUUUUUCCUCUUUUGCUUCCAUUUUGCUCACUGGUGGGGCUGUCCAAUAACAGCGUUGAUGCUGCUGAAAUGUCACAAUGAACUUUGCUCAUGUACUAGUUCCAGGUGAGAUGGGAGUAGUUAGUUGUAAUAUUUAACAAAACAAAAGAAGUAUUUGCCAAUGUUUUUGGAUAUAGUUGUUAUGUCCCAGGCGCAGAGAUUAGUCAGAGCAUCCAUAAAUAUCACUGUCGUUGAAAUCUGAUAUCCAAACCCUUCACUCCAAAUGCCCACCGGCUGUGAAAACCCUGCUGAGCUUUGGCCACUGGGCUGUAAACUCCUUUUGGGUUUUGCUCCAUGCCUGGCACAACGGCUGGGGGUCCCUGCCAGUGCAAUAGGGAGUGCAUUUCAGGAGGGGAAGCAAGAGGCACAUCCUACACAGUGGAUCACCUGGUGGGGAAAAAGCUCCCAUUGUGUAUUAUUAUUCAUUUCUGUUGUCAGCCUCUGGUCACUGCAGUAGAGGAGGGUCCAUGUUAAAGGUUACAGAGCAGCUGUGGAGGCUGGUGUGGCAGCCAGUACAGGUAUCAUAAAGGGUCAGGUUAAACUGUACUCUUUCUUGAGUACCUCUGUUAGAAACUGAGCUAAACAGUGUCUUGGUCCCAACACAUAUAAAAGCUUUGGUGCUAUCACGUGAAGAAAAUCCAGUUUCUCGGAGGAAACUUGAGACAAAAGAGCCAACCCAAGAUAUUUAUCAGUUUUCACUAAAUUAAUGCAAACAAAAACAGUGUUCUUUACAGUAAAUCUAUUGCUGAGUUUUACUGGAAUUAACUGAUAUUCUCACCUGCCUAAUAUCUGGUAGUCUUUGUGAGGAUUUUUUCCACUGAUACAUUUUGGUGGAAGAGAAGGCAUUCUUCAAUGGAUUAAAAUAUUUUGCAUUCAGAAAUGAUCAGUUUCAUUGAAAGGUUUAGAGUUUUCAGAAGGAAAAAGCCAAGAGCAGCAGCAGAAUUAUUUUGAGUAAGUAUUUUCUUCAGUAUUCCACUCACCCAUCACCUCAAAACACUACAGAAGUAGCACAUGAACUGAAGCAACAAAAUACAUCCAUGUCAUCAACAGUUUUCAUAGGGGUGAGAAGCAGACCCUAGUUACUUCCAUGCAUACAAUGCUCUUGAGUGACUGGAAGGGGAGGAGCCACAAUCCAUUCCUUCCCAGGCCUCCUUUAAGGGUUGGCGGUGGAGGUAAGGAGGUCUUGCUGGCGAACCCUGUCUACUGGAGGCCUUCCAAAGGUAAGAAGUUUUUCUUCCUAUUCUGUGACCGUGGCAGCUACAUUUGGGUUUGUUCUCAUUUGCUGCAGCCUAGGAUUGUGACACUUCGCUGUUAUUGCUGUACUUCAUAUUAUAGCAUUAGAAAGAGAAUGAGCUGAUAAAGAUGCAGUGCAGUCAGAUGCAGGCAGGGCCAGCACAGGAGAAAGCCUGCUGUCUGUGCAAAACUGAAUGUAGCUAAGCAUACUGGGGUGAAGCAAAGUCCAGCUGAAUGGUACCAUUUAAUACUCAGAGAGCCCAAGUGCCAGCCAGCACCAGGAGCUAAGGAGCACCCAUGGAAAAGGGUACAAAGGUGGCACUGAUGCACAGCACUUGGCUUGGCUCCCACAAAGGUCGCAGCUGAGUCUCUGUGUUAACUUUUCCUCAACACAGUGUUAUUGAGAAUUAUGCCAAGCUACUCAAUAGUGAUGCCUCCCUCUCGCAGACCUUUCAUUAGAAGAUAUCAGCAUUUGAUAUCCCAGUCAUAAGCAAGAACAGUCAAAGGCACAGUUAGUUCUAUUAUAAGCUUGAGAAUUUAGCUUUAAGUAUGCCAAGGUCCUCAUCCUGCAAAGCAUUUGGGGUUGUAUUGUUCAUGCAAUUGAUGAACAAGUCUGCAAGUUUUGUCUAAGCAGAGGCAAAAAUGAAACCCAGGUCUCUGGUGGUACGUCCUGUGCUCAGCAAUGAGAGCCUCCAUAUGGAUAUAGAAGUAUCUGGUAUAAAUGUGUCAAAUGAAUUGGAAGCUGUUACAUACAGUACUGCAAGGGGGAAUUCUUAUUUAUUACAAUUUUGUUAUCAGUAUUCUUGUGGAGCUGAAUUUCCUGUGCAGACAUGCAGCAGCCAGGUUCACCACACGACCAAAGCUUCAGCGUGGGGAAGUUGUUCUCAUUCACCUCUCUGUUUAUUUUCCAGCUCUUAUCCUAUCAGCUCAAGUGAAUCAAGGUGGGAGGAGGUGAAGCAAUUGGAGCGGGCAGUUUUUAAGGCUGCACUGAGUAUAAGGGGAGUUAAGUGGAGACAAGCCCCAGACAGAACCAGUGGACCUGGUGUCACAUCUAACAGCUGUGUGAAGCAGUGCCCUAUCCCCUGGCAUAGCCAGAAGGAGAUGUGGAAGGAGGAAAUUCAAAGAGGAGAGCUUUUCCUACAUUGCUGUAUAUAUUCAGGACAGUCAUCUGAGAAGGGAAGAAAGCCAAGCAAGGUGUACUGAAGAUGGGCUAAGGCCUCCAUCCAAUGGAAACUCCUGGGACAGACAAAAAUCCUACCACUGAUUGACAUUUAUCUUCUUUAGCACUUAGCCUCUAAAACUUGGUGGAAAUUUACAAGUCUGGAAGUGGCCAUUGCAUUCUUGAGUAGGAUGCCAUCCAUUUUACAACUGGCAUUUGUCUGUAGGUUCCACAAUGACUCCUUUGUUUAAAUGCUCACUCCUUGCUAAGGAUUAUUGACCUGAAGCCUUACAUUCCUGACAUCACCCAGUUUCUCCAUGCUGACCAGCUUUGUGUGGAGCAAAAGAUGGCUACUCAGUGGUCAGUGCUGCCAGCCAGCUGCUUAUCCUUGCAUGGGACAUGCACCUGCUCCUUGCUACAGCAAUGCAUGUGUGACCCAUCUGCUCAUCCAGAGGGGUGGUUCUGAGGCCGAGCAGUUGCACAGGUACCUCCCCUUAGUUAUACAGGGCACGUUUCUGUCUUUUCUUCCCUCCUCUGAGCUAUUUUCAGUCUCAACUAGCUUGUUCCAUUAAACGCAGCCGGUGUGAAAUCAGGCCUGGCAGGAACACAUUUUGGGGGGUGCACAGCUUACAUUUACACACAAGAAAGGACUUUACAGUACCAGGCACUUAGUUGCCCUUCACACCUUCACCUCUCUAAGGAAUACCCUUUCUGAGCCAUCCGGUGCUAACCUGGACAUUAGAAUGGAAUGUAGGCAAACAUACAUAGCAACUUGUCCCCUCUGAUUUACCCAAAGCCAUUUCAUUUCUUUGUGUUUACCUGCAUUACUUUGUUUCUUAGUGAGCAAAGAAGUGCACAACGUUGCAGCUGAACUCCCAUCUGUGCCUGCUGCACUGUCCCUGUCUCAUUUGUCCCUUAAGACUGCAUUUCCCUUUUCAUGGCUACAGCAUAGUUGUGGCUCAAAGUCACCCUGUGAUUAGAGUACACCAAAGUCUUCUUCCUCCCCAAGCAGCUUUAAGUGCAUGGCUCAUUACCAACUGUUUUCUUAGUAACAAUACCCAGCUCUGCGGUGACCUGCAUGAGCUAUGGGUCUGGGCCCCCUUCUCCAGAAGAGCCAGACUUUGCCAGCUGAUACCAGCUGCAGAACCAGUUCUCAGUAUUCAGUGCACUUGGGGAGAAAGAAACAAGUAGUAAACUAAAGACAAACAGAGCUACAUCACAGUCAAAUGUAUGAUAACACUACCAACCAAGACAGCUGCUUCUGUCAACAUGGAAACAAGAUAGGAGCUAAAGUGCUUCUAUUUUUGCAUUAAAAUAGAAACAGAGAUGGAGAGGACUUGGGGGAUUUAUCAAACCAAAUAAAUAUUUGUCAUUUUAAAAUUUGAAUGGAAAUUAUAAUAUUCCACUGCUACCAUGGAGCUGAAUGUCGUCCUUCCCCUCAAUCAGCCCUUAGCAGCAAGGAGUUAGUUGCAAUCAAAUGGAUUAGACUGGUUGCAUUCAUUCAGAUUGGCAAACAGCCCCAUCAGCCAGGACCGUGGUCCAUAAUGGCACAGCGCCCUUUGAGACCCCCAUCCCAGGGCUGUAUCAGCAGUGCUACACACCACAGCCAUCACACAAGUGUGCUACUGCCAUUAAACUGCGGCUCCCUCAGAGCUCAAGAAACAUUUUUCCCCUUUCUUGAACUGUAUUUAAAUCAAGUCACUUCUGUACAUUUUUAGCCUGAAUUAAGGACAUUUUUCUGUUAAGGUUUGGAGGUGUCUUUUUGUUACUAUUAUUGUAAUUAUUUAAACAACAAACAACAACAACACAGUGAAUAUGAUACUUCCUUGUACUUCUUGGUUUGAGAUGGAACCUGAAACCCAAAAAGCAAAGCACCUACAAAAGCCCUGUGGCUGGGAGAUCCCUGAACUUCUCCAAACCUGGAGCAGAGGAAAAGUUUACAAGAAGCUCUCCAGAGGCCCUCAGCCCAAUUACCAGGAACCAAGGCAGGCUGAAUACGCUCAGGGCAAUGGAUGCAGAGAGGAAAUAGUCAAGUACCUUUCAAAUAUGCAACCAAAGAAUUUGAUUUUUGCCUGUCACUUGUCACAUAUUUCAGAAGGAAAUAAAAGAAAAUACUCUGUCUGGGAAUUCUUACCCUGCAAUUGUUGAGAAGCAGAGAUGCUGGUUAAUUCUCUUCAACUGAACAAACAUAGGAGGGAGUCUGAGAGCAAUUUGGCUCCAGAGCAAAUAUUGUUACCAAAUUCUUUGCACCUGCAACAGUCAGGAAAACGAUAAUACAGCUUUUCCAUGUCUUCCUAUCCCACGCUUUGGAAAGCAUCCACACAGUACCUCAUAUGUCUGCUACAGGAUAAACAUUUGCAGGGCAGAGCCUCACACAAGCCCCUGCUGGUACGGCUGUAUUGCGCUCUAUGGCCCCAGCCCACAACUCCCACUCUUAUCUUGGCCUCAAGUCAACCUGACACUCUGACCCAGUCUAUUCACAGCUCUCCAGCGUGAUCCCUGCAGCACCACUGGCUGCCAUGGCCAGCAUUCAGCCUGUACCACACCAGCUCUGCACAGCACUGCCCAGCUGGGAGCAUGUUACUGGACUUAGUAAGUUUAAAAAUGAAGGUAAUGAAAACAUUAAGAACUUUAGCUGUCAUAGCUUCCAGUACCAUUCUUCCAGCUUAGUCACACUUACCAAGGGAAAACACUUCUCCUGGUAUAGAAUCAUGAAAUUACAAAAUGGGUUGGAUUGGAAGGAACCCUAAAGACCACUCAGCCCCAACCCCCAGCCAUGGGCAGGGCUGCCCCCACCAGCUCAGGCAGCCCAGGGUGGCCCAACCUGGCCUUGAGUGCCUCCAGGGAUGGGGCACCACAGCUUCUCUGGGCCUCGCCACCCUCUGAAUGAAGAAUUUCCCCUCUAACCUCAAUUUCCCAUUUUAGCUUAGAGCCAUCCUCCCCCCUCCCCCCUUUUUUGAUGCAGCCCGGGAUACUGUUGACCUUCUAGGCUGCAAGCAAACACUGCUGGCUCACAAUAAGUUUUUCAUCUACCAGUUUCCCUAAACCCUUCUCUGUAGGAAUGCUCUCAAUGCUUUCUUAGGAUUACCCCAAUCCAAGUAAAACUUCUCAUUUUGCUUCAUUGAACCUCAUUAGGUUCACAUGGGCCCACAUUUUAAGUUAAUCGGGGUCCCUCUGUAUAGCAUCCCUUUCUUCUACCAUGCCAACUGCACCAGUCCCUUCAGGAUGCUGGGAUGAAUGUCAUCCAGCCCCAUAGACUUGUACACAUAAUACAAUACAACUUGCCUCAGACCAGGUUUUCUUUAUAGUGGAGUAUAUCCUUGGUGUUCAGACUGACAGAGCAAGAGGACCAAAGCUCCACAAGUGAGGGACCAAGCCCAUUGCAGCUGUAACCCCAGCUUGUACCUCCAGUGACAGGGAGGUGCAGGGACAGAAAAAGGUGAACCCAUAUUCCUUGUGGGACGCAGGGAGGCCAGAGAAACAUUUGGACCUCUACAGUGGGUGCAAGUUUAUUUUCUGUACUGUUUCUUGAGAAACAAAUCUGUGCCUUCAAGACCUUAGUACCUUCUUCAUAAAAUGGAAUGCAUUCCUAUCCCCCCCACUCUUGUCACGCUCACAUGCAGCAUCCAUCUACCAAGGAGCAGCUAAGAGAUGAAGCCACUAAAUACCACCAAGGCAGAGAAACAUUUGCACCAUUGUCAUGGAAGGAAAACACCUCUCAUUUCCGUGCUGGGCUCCACACAGGUAAAAUGAAGGAAUUUGGUGUCAGACUCCCCACUCUGUCCCCACUGUCCACAGGCUCCCUCACAGUAAAAGCAAGUGCUUCAUCUCCAUGCAAAGUUUCAUAGUGAGAGGAAACCCACUGUAUGAUAUGCUUAAUGCACUGAAAGAAUACUUGUUUUAGAAAAAGUACAGAUAUAUACACAUGCGCCUUUGUCUUCUAGACCAAGGGCCCUGCCUUCGUACCUAGGCAAUGUUCCAAUCAGCAAAAUAAUAAUAACCAAUAAGCAGCUUUAAAAACAGAUAACAACAAAGCACUUUGGCCUCUCACUGCAACAUGAAGACAGAUACUGGAUUACUAGGAGAAGACAAAUUGAUGAGAUGACAUUGAGUUACAGAGCUGAAAUCCAAAGGAAUUAUUCCAAUUUAUGCU